This 324-nucleotide small RNA is filed under the name Pongo abelii (Sumatran orangutan). RNAcentral describes it as "processed transcript". The record is from RNAcentral. Lineage: Eukaryota; Metazoa; Chordata; Mammalia; Primates; Hominidae.
AGCGAGCCGAGCAGGCGGUGCUGCCGCCCGCCGCCGCUCGCCCCGCCGCGGCCGCCCCUGCUCCUGCUUGCAGCGCCCCUCUGAUCCAUGGCUGUCUGUCUGUACUUGUUACGGUGUAACAUCCUCCUCCUCCUUCUCCUCCUCCUCCUCCUCCUCGGGAGCCGCUGCAACUUCCCCUCAGCCAGCCUCCUCCUUUGCCUGGGGACUGCAAAGGCAUGGGAUAGACCCAGAGCCUCUUCCCUCUGUCUCCCCUCCAGCCCUCGCUCAAUUUUCCCCACUUUAAAUUAAAGUCUGUUCCUCGCUCCUCGUCGUUUUAGAGAUUUA